CUGCCAGACUCCUACGGGAGGCAGCAGUGAGGAAUAUUGGUCAAUGGGCGGGAGCCUGAACCAGCCAAGUCGCGUGAGGGAAGACGGUCCUAUGGAUUGUAAACCUCUUUAGGCGGGGAGCAAUGCCGGGCACGCGUGCCCGGAGGGAGAGUACCCGCAGAAUAAGCAUCGGCUAACUCCGUGCCAGCAGCCGCGGUAAUACGUAGGGGGCUAGCGUUAUCCGGAAUUACUGGGCGUAAAGGGUGCGUAGGUGGUUUCUUAAGUCAGAGGUGAAAGGCUACGGCUCAACCGUAGUAAGCCUUUGAAACUGGGGAACUUGAGUGCAGGAGAGGAGAGUGGAAUUCCUAGUGUAGCGGUGAAAUGCGUAGAUAUUAGGAGGAACACCAGUUGCGAAGGCGGCUCUCUGGACUGUAACUGACACUGAGGCACGAAAGCGUGGGGAGCAAACAGGAUUAGAUACCCCAGUACA
Molecule: ribosomal RNA, 469 nt
Filed under: uncultured bacterium
Lineage: Bacteria
Description: partial 16S ribosomal RNA
Rfam family: Bacterial small subunit ribosomal RNA
Source: RNAcentral